RNAcentral lists this ribosomal RNA (822 nucleotides) under Triticum aestivum (bread wheat). RNAcentral's name for it is "partial small subunit ribosomal RNA". The record is from RNAcentral. Lineage: Eukaryota; Viridiplantae; Streptophyta; Magnoliopsida; Poales; Poaceae.
AUGCUCGCCGGGGCCAAGGAGGAGCAUCGAGGGGAAUACUGCCCGGCUGAGAGGUGUGGCAACCUCACAGUAUCCAAUUCAUUCUGGAUCGCUAACGAGGAGGUGGGAAGAUCGUGUGGCCCCUUGGACUUCCAGGUCAGUUGCUUAAACGACAACAAUCCAUUUCUCCUGAGCUCUGGAUUCACUGCCUUCGGAAUCAUGGACAUCUGGUACGAGGACCGCAAUCUGCGUGUCGUUGAUGUACAUAAAGAGAAAGACUUCAACGUCUCAAAGAGCAGUUGCAAUUUCCCGAGUAGGAACACCUCCAGCAAGCUGGCACUGCCGUUCAAGGUCAACCCCACCAACAUGAACCUCAUCUUCUACAAGUGCACCAAGAUGGUGGCGCUGCUGGAGGUGAGAUAUGUGAACGCGAGCAACAUGUUUGUUCAUGCGGGAGUGCGUUUCGGUGAGACCGGGAACUAUGACGACUACGCCUUGGAGGGCUGUGAUGCUAUCAUCGUGCCGGUGAUGGGUUCGUCGGGCUGGGCCAACGCGAGCGACUACGAGCAGCUCAUCAGCCAUGGCGCACCAUCUACAGCUCCCUCGAAGCCGGCACCUGCUUCUUCGAGCUCGCACACGCCGGCGCGUACCAUUGACGAUCGGCCAUGGCGGCAGUGGAAGCAGUGUGCGCUUCCCCUGGUCGGCAUGCUCGCCGAGCGCCUCUACGGCUACAAGCUGGUGCGUUCUGCUGCAAGCGACGCAGAGCAUGCGUCCUCCGUCGAGACCUGCAUGAGAACAAGUCCCAACUUGUCAAUGAGCAUCCUCCAAAGCCUAAGAGUGUAA